GAGCCAAAACUUGCCGAGUCAGGAUGUGAGAGAGGCAGGGAAGGCUCUGCAGCAUCCCUGGGUGCUGCCGCAUCCUGGGGGGGCUGGGGGGGCUCGGCCUCCCUCCUCCACCGGACGCUUUUUGCCAGGAAUGGGGUAGGAACCGGCACCUGCUGGGUUUGCCUCCGGCUGUCGCGGCCGCACCGGCACCGGCGCCGCUUCCCGGAACCUGCAGCUCCACCAGCAGCUGCAGGGGGGUUAUUUCUAUUUUUCUAUAUUUUUUUGGGGUUUUUUUUUGCUUCCUGACCUCCCAUCUCCAUUAAGAGCACCGGAGGCAGGGGUGAGGCGGCGAGCGGCUCCGGGGAGCCCAGGCUGGCUCCAUGUAUCCCGAAUCCACCACUGACUCCCCGGCGCGACUCUCGCUGCGGCAGACGGGCUCCCCAGGGAUGAUUUACAGCGCGAGGUACGGGAGCCCCAAGCGCCAGCUCCAGUUCUACAGGUAACCCAG
This is a long non-coding RNA of Calidris pugnax (ruff), 487 nucleotides long. RefSeq lists it as uncharacterized. The transcript is spliced from 3 exons. Lineage: Eukaryota; Metazoa; Chordata; Aves; Charadriiformes; Scolopacidae. The record is from RefSeq and is a predicted model, not a curated record.